UACGUAGGGUGCGAGCGUUGUCCGGAAUUAUUGGGCGUAAAGGGCUCGUAGGCGGUUUGUCGCGUCGGGAGUGAAAACACUGGGCUUAACUCAGUGCUUGCUUCCGAUACGGGCAGACUAGAGGUAUGCAGGGGAGAGCGGAAUUCCUGGUGUAGCGGUGAAAUGCGCAGAUAUCAGGAGGAACACCGGUGGCGAAGGCGGUUCUCUGGGCAUUGCCUGACGCUGAGGAGCGAAAGUGUGGGGAGCGAACAGG
This 253-nucleotide ribosomal RNA is filed under the name uncultured bacterium. RNAcentral's name for it is "partial 16S ribosomal RNA". It matches the Rfam family "Bacterial small subunit ribosomal RNA", at positions 524 to 776 of the family's 1533-position model. The record is from RNAcentral.